RNAcentral lists this ribosomal RNA (253 nucleotides) under uncultured bacterium. Its description in RNAcentral is "partial 16S ribosomal RNA". It matches the Rfam family "Bacterial small subunit ribosomal RNA", at positions 524 to 776 of the family's 1533-position model. The record is from RNAcentral.
UACGAAGGGGGCUAGCGUUGUUCGGAUUUACUGGGCGUAAAGCGCACGUAGGCGGAUCGUUAAGUUAGGGGUGAAAUCCCAGGGCUCAACCCUGGAACUGCCUUUAAUACUGGCGAUCUAGAGUCCGGAAGAGGUGAGUGGAACUCCUAGUGUAGAGGUGGAAUUCGUAGAUAUUAGGAAGAACACCAGUGGCGAAGGCGGCUCACUGGUCCGGUACUGACGCUGAGGUGCGAAAGCCAGGGGAGCAAACGGG